GAUGAACGCUGGCGGCGCGCCUAACACAUGCAAGUCGAACGAUUAAAGCACCUUCGGGUGUGUAUAAAGUUGCGAACGGCUGAGUAACACGUGGGCAACCUGCCCCUCUCAUUGGGAUAGCCACGGGAAACCGUGGAUAAUACCGAAUACUUCGGGACUUCCGCAUGGAAGACUCGAGAAAGCUCCGGCGGAGAGGGAUGGGCCCGCGGCCUGUUAGCUUGUUGGUGGGGUAAUGGCCUACCAAGGCAAUGAUGGGUAGCUGGGUUGAGAGACCGACCAGCCAGAUUGGGACUGAGACACGGCCCAGACUCCUACGGGAGGCAGCAGUGGGGAAUCUUGCACAAUGGGCGAAAGCCUGAUGCAGCGACGCCGCGUGCGGGAUGAAGGCCUUCGGGUUGUAAACCGCUUUCAGCAGGGACGAGGCGAAAGUGACGGUACCUGCAGAAGAAGCCCCGGCUAACUACGUG
RNAcentral lists this ribosomal RNA (467 nucleotides) under uncultured bacterium. RNAcentral describes it as "partial 16S ribosomal RNA". It matches the Rfam family "Bacterial small subunit ribosomal RNA", at positions 28 to 507 of the family's 1533-position model. The record is from RNAcentral.